AUGCAAGGGAACAGCAGCAACGGCCACCGCCUCCAAGUCACGUUCGCCACAGCCGGAGAACCCUGUGCCCGCAGAAUUUUUGCUUCGGGUUCCAGGAUAUUGAUAUUGAUUUUCCUUAGCCUAAGCCUAUGCCUCUCCAGCCCAAUGGUAGCUUAUAAUGGUCACAGCAGAAGAUCACUCUACAUAGGACCAGAACUUAAUAUCAGUAAUUGCNUGAUUCGUACUGAGAAGCUGAUGGACAUAACAAACAAGGAACGGCAUGAGAAGCAGGUACAGUAUUUUGCCUUGGUAGAACAUUAUCUGUCUGUCUAUCUACCUACCUACCUCUCCAAGAUUCAGGUUAAACAUUACAGGAAUAUCCCAAAUAUUUAGAAUUGUUGAGUAGCACAACAGUAUUCCUCACAUAAUGAAGAAUUCCCAUACACUGGAGAUUUAUAAACAGAGUCUGAAGGAUGGUUUAGCAGGUUCUUGAACUAAGCAGAAACAGGAUUAAGACUGCAUUCAUAAGUAGGGAAAAAACAUUUUAGCUUACAGAUGGUUUGCAGGUGGGGUUGUUCACANGCCAUUCGGUUAGUUUGUCCCUCUCCCCUCAUGAAAAUUCUAGGCUAAGAAAGGAACAUUAACAAUGGGAUGUAAACAUAAGAGUCACACACCACUGUCUCUAAGGCAGUGUGAAUGCAGCCUAAAUGACUUCCAAGAUUCCUUGCAACUCACAAGUUCUAUGAUUUUGUUAUGGAGUACCAAGACACGUUUGGAUAGCUGCUGGGCCUCUGUAAGCACCUUGUAAUAAUAGGGAAGCAUUUUGAGGGGCUGAGAUAACCUUAUAGCAUACCAUGCAUUUUUAGUUUUGCAGCAUCAACCAGCUUCUCCCUACACAUUAAACAAUUAGACAGAGCAAAUAUUUAACAACCAUAGAAUAUGCCAAGGAAGAUUCCAAACUGAAGUCCUCCAGCUGUCAGUCAAGAGGGAACACCAGUUAAUAACAUCAAAAUUUGUGCAACAGGAAGCAAGAUGGUAGAAAAUGUGUGAAACAGGAGAUAUGCAUCAAUUCAUGUUCCUGCUGCAUAUUAAAUUAGUGUUACAAGCCUGGCUUUUAAAUAACAGUAGUAGUAGUAGUAGCUGUUGUUAGGUGCCACUGAGUUAGGGCUAACUUUUCAUGAUUCUGUGAAUACAUCCAUUCGNUCAUCUUGGCAGAAGUGGUUUANCAUUGCUUUCUUUCAAGAUCCUGGAGACAAAAUCUCCAACAUUCUUAUUUUUAGAGUUGCUCUACCAUUGGUUUGUGUCUGCAAGAAACAUCAAAUCUCAAAAAGAUGACAGAGAAAAUAGUAAGGAGUGUAAAUGCAGCCCUCUGUUUUGGAAGGGCCCUUUUACUUAUUUGCUACGUUAAGAUAUGCAAUUCCUUCCAUGUAUUGUUAUUUAUUUACUACAUUAGUUUCAACACACACAGUAGUUCUCUGCACAACUCAGGCCAUGGAAUACACAGUUUAGAACGGCUUUAAAACUUUGGCCCUUCUCAUACUUGCCUUUAGUCCAGACUAAGAGGCCACAAAGUCUGCUUCUGGGCCUCACUGGUCUNCAUAUUGGUGCAGAUUUCAGAAGCCCCGCCCCCUGGUCUGCUUCAUCUGCAUUAGACAGAGCAUAGUCCUGACCAAGGAGACAAGUAGACUGUUUCAGCAGGUCUACCAGCAGACCAGCGGGCACUGAUCUAGACCAGCGGGCACUGAUCUAGACCAUGGAGAAGUACAGAAGGCACAUCUCCAUGAUCAGGACUACUGGGAGACUCAUUUCAGUGGCACAUGAAAGCACACUGCUGAAAUAUCACCACCCCAAUGGCUCUGGGACUAGGAACAAUAGUUCCUAACCCUUUGGAUCCUUCAGAGGCUGGCACCAAAACUCUCCUGAGCUUCAGGGUUAGGAAGCACGGUGGCGCAGAAGGCUAAGGCACUGAUCUUUCAAUAGGAGGAGCGGAGUUCAAGGCCCCUGUCUGCCAUGUAGAGGGGAUGAGCGCCCUCUACUGGCCUCUAGCUCCAGCCAACCUANCUGUUUGAAAGCAAGUAAUUGCAAGUAGAUAAACAGGGAGCGUCACAUUGUGUGAUGUGGAAGACAGACAGAUGUAAGCCUUCAGGCGAAAAAUAACCUUGUAAACCGCUUUGAGUCAGCUUCGGCCGAGAAAAGCGGGGUAUAAAACUAAGUUGUUGUUGUUCUUCUUCUUCAGGGUGGGAGUGGGAAUGGAGAUGGGGGCUGAUCUGGACCAGUGCUGUCAUGCAGAAGGUGCUGUUCCAGACCACANCUUUCUGUGGUCUGAACCAGCAGGCCUAGCUGGUCCAGACCCACUGGUUCACACCAUGAGGAGGUAAGGGCAGAAAUGGCCAAAGAUUCCUCCAAGUAGUUAAGCACUCAAACUUUGGCUGCAUCUGCACACAUGAAAAAGUGGCUUAGAGUUGGUAUUAUGCAGACACAUNUCAUCUNUAAUCCACAUGAAGGACCUUAGAAAUGCAUUUUCUGGCCUGUAAUGUGGAUUAGAGGCACCAGUGUGUGAAUGCUACCACCUCUAAGCUGCUUUCAAUCCACCUUUUUAUUGUCUGUAGAUGCAGUCUAAAAAGCUUACAUUGAUUUUAAGAAGCCUCCAUAUGACAUACCAUUCCAUAAUCUGGGUUCCUUCACAGAGAAGAUUCUUCCCCUAGUUGCUACUUGCCUAGGAGUCUCUGGAAAGGACACAUGUGAAAUCUUGGACUCUGCACUGACACCUGAAGCUCAGGUGGAGGCAGGGGCCAAGAGUGCCUACCUCUAGCUAUAGCUGGCUCACCAGCUAUGACCCCCUCUGGACAGAGAUGGCCACAGUAUUCCAUGCUUUGGUAACUUUCAGAUUGGAUUAUUGCAAUGCGUUUUACAUGGUUCUAUCCUUGAAGAUAAUUCAGAAGCUGCAGCUGGUGCAGAAUUAAGCAGCAAGACUGCUGACUGAAAUGGCUAUCCGGGAUGCAUAUCAUGCCAGUCUUAAAAGAGCUGCACUGGCUACCAGUUCACUACUGAGCCCAANUCAACCUGUUAACCUUAACCUAUAAGGCCCUAAAUGACUUGGGCCCCAAAUACCUAACAGAAUGUUUUCUCCCAUAUCGACCUGCCCAUGCCUUAACAUCUGCAGAUGAGGCCCUCCUGGUUGUACCACCACCUUCAGUACCUAGAGGGGUGAACAGUAGCUAGAGGAUAGGGCCUUUUCAGUAGUGGUCCCCAGACUGUGGAACACUCCCCCCCCCGAGGUGUGUCAAACAUCUUCCUACGUCUGUAGGAAGUGAAGACACACCUGUUUACCCUUUCCUUCAGCUAAGGAAACAGCUUAUCCUCCCCAUUUUCAGNCACUGUUACUGUUUCUAAUGUGCCCACUUUACAUUCUGUUUUUUAUUGUUGUAAUAUGCCCUGAGACCUUCAGGUACAGGGUGGAGUAAAAAUGCAAAUAAAUAAAUAAAUGUUGCUUCA
This 3474-nucleotide long non-coding RNA is filed under the name Salvator merianae (Argentine black and white tegu). RNAcentral describes it as "lncRNA (ENSSMRG00000000681.1)". Lineage: Eukaryota; Metazoa; Chordata; Lepidosauria; Squamata; Teiidae. The record is from RNAcentral.